This 111-nucleotide non-coding RNA is filed under the name Actinomyces sp. HMT897. Its description in RNAcentral is "Actinomyces-1 RNA". It matches the Rfam family "Actinomyces-1 RNA". RNAcentral also lists the same sequence under 1 other name. The record is from Rfam by way of RNAcentral. Lineage: Bacteria; Bacillati; Actinomycetota; Actinomycetes; Actinomycetales; Actinomycetaceae.
UGUGCCGCCGGACGGUGGCGACCGCGAGACGUUGGGGAGCGUCGGUGACCGGCCGCCUCCGGAAUGCCGGACCGCAGCCCAGGGACUGCGACCGUGCGCUCGGCGAAGGAG